Molecule: ribosomal RNA, 465 nt
Filed under: uncultured bacterium
Lineage: Bacteria
Description: partial 16S ribosomal RNA
Rfam family: Bacterial small subunit ribosomal RNA
Source: RNAcentral
CUACGGGUGGCUGCAGUGAGGAAUUUUGCGCAAUGGGGGGAACCCUGACGCAGCAACGCCGCGUGAGUGAUGAAGGCUCUCGGGUCGUAAAGCUCUGUCAAGUGGGAAGAACCUAUGCAGUGUUAAUAUCACUGUAUACUGACGGUACCACUGAAGGAAGCACCGGCUAGCUCCGUGCCAGCAGCCGCGGUAAUACGGGGGGUGCAAGCGUUAUUCGGAAUCAUUGGGCGUAAAGGGCACGUAGGCGGCUUGGUAAGUCAGAUGUGAAAGCCCGGGGCUUAACCCCGGAAGUGCAUUUGAUACUGGCAGGCUUGAGUAUGGGAGAGGGAAGUGGAAUUCCUGGUGUAGAGGUGAAAUUCGUAGAUAUCAGGAGGAACACCGGUGGCGAAGGCGACUUCCUGGACCAAUACUGACGCUGAGGUGCGAAGGCGUGGGUAGCAAACAGGAUUAGAUACCCUUGUAGUC